RNAcentral lists this ribosomal RNA (2893 nucleotides) under Armatimonadota bacterium. RNAcentral describes it as "bacterial LSU rRNA". It matches the Rfam family "Bacterial large subunit ribosomal RNA". The record is from RNAcentral. Lineage: Bacteria; Bacillati; Armatimonadota.
AAAGCUACUGAGGGUGCGUGGUGAAUGCCUAGGGACAAGUUGCCGAUGAAGGACGCGCAAGCGGCGAAACGCUCCGGGGAGCUGCACGAGAGCUUUGAUCCGGAGAUAUCCGAAUGGGGAAACCCCGUCAGGGUAAUGCCUGUCGACCCACACCUGAACACAUAGGGUGUGAGGAGGGAACCGGGUGAACUGAAACAUCUAAUUAACCCGUGGAAAAGAAAUCGAAGAGAUUCCGUAAGUAGCGGCGAGCGAACGCGGAACAGCCUAAACCAAGGGGUACGCCUCUUGGGGUCGUGGGGCCACCACUAAGCCCCUAAAGCCAUCGUUCUUGCGGAGACGCAGGGCCUAUGGAUUUGGGGGUUUAGAAACGAGUUGGAAUCGAGUUAGGAAAAGCGAGUUGGAAAACUCCGCCGUAGAGGGUGAGAGCCCCGUAUUCAAACUCUCGAUUCGAAUUCAGGGGGUACCCGAGUAGCGCCGAACACGAGGAAUUCGGCGUGAAUCUGCCCGGACCACCGGGUAAGGCUAAAUACGACUUGUCACCGAUAGUGCAACCAGUACCGUGAGGGAAAGGUGAAAAGCACCCCGGGAGGGGAGUGAAAUAGACCCUGAAACCGCGACACCCAUAAACAGUCAGAGCACUAUGACCGGAGCGAUCCGGCCACGUGUAAUGGCGUACCUUUUGCAGAAUGAGCCUGCGAGUUGUUGGUACCGGCAAGGUUAAGGAUUUCAGAUCCGCAGCCGGAGGGAAACCGAGUCCGAAUAGGGCGUCAAGUCGGUAUCAGCAGACCCGAAACUGCGUGAUCUAGCCAUGGCCAGGCUGAAGUGGUGGUAACACACCAUGGAGGGCCGAACCAAUUAACGUUGAAAAGUUACUGGAUGAGUUGUGGUUAGUCCGGUGAAAUGCCAAUCGAACGCAGAAAUAGCUGGUUCUCCCCGAAAUGCAUUUGGGUGCAGCGUUACGUGAUGUCGUUUGGGGGUAGAGCACUGAAUGGGCUAGGGGGCCUACCAGCUUACCGAACCCAACCAAACUCCGAAUACCAAACGAUUAACGUAGCAGUGAGACUGCGAGGGAUAAGCUUCGUAGUCGAGAGGAUAACAGUCCAGACCCACAGCUAAGGGCCCUAAGCGUGUGCUAAGUGUGAAACGAUGUGAGGUCGCGUAAACAGCCAGGAGGUUGGCUUGGAAGCAGCCACCCUUUAAAAAGUGCGUAACAGCUUACUGGCCGAAUGUGACUUCGCGCGGAAAAUGUAAGGGGGCUUAAGCACACCCCCGAAGCUUGGGGAUUCCGGAGCAAUCCGGGAUCGGUAGGGGAGCGUCGGGCGCGCAGCGAAGCCGUAGCGUAAGCAGCGGUGGAGCGCGUUCGAGUGAGAAUGCAGGCAUGAGUAGCGAUUACAGAGGUGAGAAUCCUCUGCGCCGAAAACCUAAGGUUUCUCCGGCCAUGUUCGUCAGACGGAGGUUAGGCGGCACCUAAGGCGAGGCCAGAAGGCGUAGCCGAUGGAGAUCGGGUUGAUAUUCCCGACCCAGGUAUGUAAGGUUAGGAAGGACGCUUCUCAAGGUUCCAUCCCACACCGUUGGUUGUUGUGGGCUACCAGAAGGCUGGGUCCUGUGUAAGCAGGACGGAAAGGCUGACUGGGGGGAAGGAAACUCUUCGGAGGGACUGAACUGGGACUGAGGGGGGCCGAGAAAAGCUCCUAUCUAUAAAUAUCUGACCGUACUGCAAACCGACACAGGUAGGUGAGUCGAGGAGACUAAGGCGUUCGAGAGAACUCUCGUUAAGGAACUAGGCAAACGAGCCCCGUAAGUUCGCGAUAAGGGGCGCUCCGAAUUUCGGAGCCGCAGCGAAGCAGCCCAGGCGACUGUUUACCAAAAACACAGGUCUCUGCUAAGGUGAAAACCGAAGUAUAGGGGCUGACGCCUGCCCAUGAAUGGCGGCCGUAACUCUAACGGUCCUAAGGUAGCGAAAUUCCUUGUCGGCUAAAUACCGACCCGCAUGAAAGGCGUAACGACUUGGGCACUGUCUCAACGAGAAGCUCGGUGAAAAUGUAGCACCCGUGAAGAUGCGGGUUCCGCGCAGUAGGACGGAAAGACCCCGUGGAGCUUUACUACACCUUAAGAUUGCGAAUUGGGUGUAGAUGUAGAGUGUAGGUGGGAGCUUCGGCGCCAAUGGAACACCACCCUUCUGCAUCUGGUUCGCUAACCUGUACCCUGAUCGGGUAUGGAGACCGUCUUAGGCGGGUAGUUUGACUGGGGCGGUCGCCUCCCAAAUUGUAACGGAGGCGCUCAAAGUUCCCCUCAGGCUGGUUGGAAAUCAGCCGUCGAGCGUAUACGUAUAGAGGGGGAUUGACUGCGAGACCUACAAGUCGAGCAGGGACGAAAGUCGGAGUAAGUGACCCUCUGGUGGUGCGUGGGCACGCCAGGGUUCAUCGGAUAAAAGCUACCCCGGGGAUAACAGGCUGAUCUUGCCCGAGCGCUCAUAGCGACGGCAUGGUUUGGCACCUCGAUGUCGGCUCGUCACAUCCUGGGGCUGUACAAGGUCCCAAGGGUUCCGGAGUUCACGGAUUAAAGUGGCACGCGAGCUGGGUUCAGAACGGCGUAAGCCAGUUCGGUCCCUAUCCACUGUGCGCGUAGGAAAUUUGAGGGGAGUCGCUCUUAGUACGAGAGGACCGGAGCGAACUGACCUCUGGUGUACCUGUUGUGCCGCCAGGCGCAGACGCAGGGUAGCCACGUCGGGAAGUGAUAAGCGCUGAAAGCAUCUAAGCGCCAAGCACACCCCAAGAUUAGAUUUCCCACUUAGGGUAAGGCCCCCGGUAGACCACCGGGUUGAUAGGCCGCAGGUGUAAGCAUGGCGACAUGUUCAGCUAAGCGGUACUAAUUGGCCGAGGGCUUAUCGAAA